UUAUCUUCUGGAAGCUAUGACCCGAAGGGCCUCACAGUGGUCACUUGGUCCUUCGACGAGCGAAUAGUGAAACCGGCCAGAUGGAUG
RNAcentral lists this non-coding RNA (87 nucleotides) under Anaerolineae bacterium. RNAcentral's name for it is "c-di-GMP-II sequence". It matches the Rfam family "c-di-GMP-II-GAG riboswitch aptamer". The record is from RNAcentral. Lineage: Bacteria; Bacillati; Chloroflexota; Anaerolineae.